RNAcentral lists this ribosomal RNA (253 nucleotides) under uncultured bacterium. RNAcentral describes it as "partial 16S ribosomal RNA". It matches the Rfam family "Bacterial small subunit ribosomal RNA", at positions 524 to 776 of the family's 1533-position model. The record is from RNAcentral.
UACAGAGGGGGCAAGCGUUGUUCGGAAUUACUGGGCGUAAAGGGCGCGUAGGCGGCCUGCUAAGUCGAACGUGAAAUCCCCGGGCUCAACCCGGGAACUGCGUCCGAUACUGACAGGCUUGAAUCCGGGAGAGGGAUGCGGAAUUCCAGGUGUAGCGGUGAAAUGCGUAGAUAUCUGGAGGAACACCGGUGGCGAAGGCGGCAUCCUGGACCGGCAUUGACGCUGAGGCGCGAAAGCUAGGGGAGCAAACGGG